Long non-coding RNA from Myxocyprinus asiaticus (Chinese sucker), 331 nucleotides. RefSeq lists it as uncharacterized. NCBI's taxonomy places the organism in Eukaryota, Metazoa, Chordata, Actinopteri, Cypriniformes, Catostomidae. The transcript has 3 exons. The record is from RefSeq and is a predicted model, not a curated record.
GGGCGGAGCCUGUGGAGUUCAUUGAAAGAAGUCGUCAUGAUUUCAAGAUCACUGGAUGCAGAGGACAGUUCACACGGUUGAUGGGCUGCCAGACCUUGCAGACCAGGCCGCUGGUAGUAAAGGGCCCUUGGGCACUGGCCCCACUGGCCCCGUCCGUAAUACACCUAUACUCAUGGCUUUAGACUGGAUCCAGCGCUGUAGAGAUGGUAGAAGCAUUUGAAAGUUAGAAUAUCAUCAGAUUGUUGGUGAACGAGGAGUCAAGAGGGAUCAGACUAAAUAACAGACGACAAACCAGUUUCAUAAUCAGACAACAACAUACAGUAUUUUAUUU